ACGCCUAACACAUGCAAGUCGAACGAAGUAGCAAUACUUAGUGGCAGACGGGUGAGUAACAUGUAGGUAUCUACCCUAUGGCCUGGAAUAACACGAGGAAACUUGUGCUAAUACCGGAUAAGUCUCAACAGAGAAAGCUUUAUGCACCAUUGGAUGAGCCUGCACUUGAUUAGUUUGUUGGUAGGGUAAUGGCUUACCAAGACUUUGAUCAAUAGCUGAUUUGAGAGGAUGAUCAGCCACAUUGGGACUGAGACACGGCCCAAACUCCUACGGGAGGCAGCAGUGGGGAAUCUUGCACAAUGGAGGAAACUCUGAUGCAGCGAUGCCGCGUGAGUGAAGAAGGCCCUUGGGUUGUAAAGCUCUUUCGUCGGGGAAGAAAAUGACUGUACCCGAAUAAGAAGGUCCGGCUAACUUCGUGCCAGCAGCCGCGGUAAUACGAAGGGACCUAGCGUAGUUCGGAAUUACUGGGCUUAAAGAGUUCGUAGGUUGUUGAAAUAGUUGGUGGUGAAAUCCCAGAGCUUAACUCUGGAACUGCCAUCAAAACUUUUCAGCUAGAGUAUGAUAGAGGAAAGCAGAAUUUCUAGUGUAGAGGUGAAAUUCGUAGAUAUUAGAAAGAAUACCAAUUGCGAAGGCAGCUUUCUGGAUCAUUACUGACACUGAGGAACGAAAGCAUGGGUAGCGAAGAGGAUUAGAUACCCUCGUAGUCCAUGCCGUAAACGAUGUGUGUUAGACGUUGGAAAUUUAUUUUCAGUGUCGCAGCGAAAGCGAUAAACACACCGCCUGGGGAGUACG
This 792-nucleotide ribosomal RNA is filed under the name uncultured Pelagibacteraceae bacterium. RNAcentral's name for it is "bacterial SSU rRNA". It matches the Rfam family "Bacterial small subunit ribosomal RNA", at positions 44 to 884 of the family's 1533-position model. The record is from RNAcentral. Lineage: Bacteria; Pseudomonadati; Pseudomonadota; Alphaproteobacteria; Candidatus Pelagibacterales; Candidatus Pelagibacteraceae.